Molecule: non-coding RNA, 22 nt
Filed under: Rattus norvegicus (Norway rat)
Lineage: Eukaryota; Metazoa; Chordata; Mammalia; Rodentia; Muridae
Source: RNAcentral
CUUUGUCCCACUUGAGCCCGGU